UACGGAGGAUCCAAGCGUUAUCCGGAAUCAUUGGGUUUAAAGGGUCCGUAGGCGGCUUUAUAAGUCAGUGGUGAAAUCUCCCCGCUCAACGGGGAAACGGCCAUUGAUACUGUAAGGCUUGAAUUAUUAGGAAGUAACUAGAAUAUGUAGUGUAGCGGUGAAAUGCUUAGAGAUUACAUGGAAUACCAAUUGCGAAGGCAGGUUACUACUAAUGGAUUGACGCUGAUGGACGAAAGCGUGGGUAGCGAACAGG
This 253-nucleotide ribosomal RNA is filed under the name uncultured bacterium. RNAcentral describes it as "partial 16S ribosomal RNA". It matches the Rfam family "Bacterial small subunit ribosomal RNA", at positions 524 to 776 of the family's 1533-position model. The record is from RNAcentral.